This 468-nucleotide ribosomal RNA is filed under the name uncultured bacterium. Its description in RNAcentral is "partial 16S ribosomal RNA". It matches the Rfam family "Bacterial small subunit ribosomal RNA", at positions 28 to 507 of the family's 1533-position model. The record is from RNAcentral.
GACGAACGCUGGCGGCGUGCUUAACACAUGCAAGUCGAACGGAAAGGCCCUGCUUUUGUGGGGUGCUCGAGUGGCGAACGGGUGAGUAACACGUGAGUAACCUGCCCUUGACUUUGGGAUAACUUCAGGAAACUGGGGCUAAUACCGGAUAGGAGCUCCUGCUGCAUGGUGGGGGUUGGAAAGUUUCGGCGGUUGGGGAUGGACUCGCGGCUUAUCCGCUUGUUGGUGGGGUAGUGGCUUACCAAGGCUUUGACGGGUAGGCGGCCUGAGAGGGUGACCGGCCACAUUGGGACUAAGAUACGGCCCAGACUGCUACGGGAGGCAGCAGUGGGGAAUAUUGCACAAUGGGCGGAAGCCUGAUGCAGCAACGCCGCGUGCGGGAUGACGGCCUUCGGGUUGUAAACCGCUUUCGCCGGUGACGAAGCGUGAGUGACGGUAAUGGGUAAAGAAGCACCGGCUAACUACGUG